UGAACGCUGGCGGCAGGCCUAACACAUGCAAGUCGAGCGGUAACAGAAAUUAGCUUGCUAAUUUGCUGACGAGCGGCGGACGGGUGAGUAAUGCCUGGGAAUAUGCCUUGAUGUGGGGGAUAACUAUUGGAAACGAUAGCUAAUACCGCAUAAUGUCUUCGGACCAAAGAGGGGGAUCUUCGGACCUCUCGCGUCAAGAUUAGCCCAGGUGAGAUUAGCUAGUUGGUGGGGUAAGAGCUCACCAAGGCGACGAUCUCUAGCUGGUCUGAGAGGAUGAUCAGCCACACUGGAACUGAGACACGGUCCAGACUCCUACGGGAGGCAGCAGUGGGGAAUAUUGCACAAUGGGCGAAAGCCUGAUGCAGCCAUGCCGCGUGUAUGAAGAAGGCCUUCGGGUUGUAAAGUACUUUCAGUCGUGAGGAAGGGUGUGUAGUUAAUAGCUGCACAUCUUGACGUUAGCGACAGAAGAAGCACCGGCUAACUCCGUGCCAGCAGCCGCGGUAAUACGGAGGGUGCGAGCGUUAAUCGGAAUUACUGGGCGUAAAGCGCAUGCAGGUGGUUCAUUAAGUCAGAUGUGAAAGCCCGGGGCUCAACCUCGGAACCGCAUUUGAAACUGGUGAACUAGAGUGCUGUAGAGGGGGGUAGAAUUUCAGGUGUAGCG
Molecule: ribosomal RNA, 661 nt
Filed under: Aliivibrio sp. HM3-17
Lineage: Bacteria; Pseudomonadati; Pseudomonadota; Gammaproteobacteria; Vibrionales; Vibrionaceae
Description: bacterial SSU rRNA
Rfam family: Bacterial small subunit ribosomal RNA
Source: RNAcentral